AUAUUGAUAAAAAUGAAAAAAUGUAUUAAGAUUUCGAAUGAAUUUGAAUUUUCCCCGCCAUUUCUACGCAAUUAAUUGCCAACAUGGAAAUCGCUAGCGUCAAUUGUUGUCAAGCCAGUGCUGCUGCAGCAAGUGUAUCGUAGGCUUGAAAGUGCAUCAUCUGCUCGUAAAAUUCUAUUUAUGUUGAAGCUGGUGACAAAUCGUAAUAUUACUGACAGGACAGAUAAAAUACAAUGGAUCCAAGGGGCCCUCCUGAGGGGGGCCCUGGUGACACAUUUGAUAUGUCCAACAUUAGUAAAGUUGCUGAUACUUCGGUAACUUGGCCAAUUGAUAGCCCAAUUAACUCGACAAUGUAUGAACAACCGAAGAAGAUGAAUAAUAAUAGAUUACUGUUUUUGACCGUUGAAUAUGUUCCAGAUCAAUCUAGAGAUUAUUCUCGUUUAUUUCCAACGUACGAGCAGGUCUCGUUCUCCCCCAGACCUUCGUCUCCUCUUUCCGAAUUUGAACAUCGCGUUAGUCCACUUGAUCCUAAUAUGAGUUCUGCUGCUAGGUAUUCACCAACUCCAGUUCAAUUACCUCCGUCUCCUUUUCAUAAUUCUGUUGUUAUUCUACAAGGUCCUUCUUCCCCUUUAAUAUCUACAACUGAAUCCAAUGUAAGAUCAAGUAUCAAUUUUGUGGGUCAAUUGACACAUCCAAUAGAUGCGCAAACUGAUACUGGAACAGAUUUUAUUAAUGAAGAUAAUGAAGAAGCUUUAGUUUCUACAGUUGGAAAUGAAUUAAUAUUAAUGCAAGAGCCUAAUGCAGAAUUGGAGCACAACACAACUCCGCUCAUGCUAACAGGUAUACCAGAUACAGAUUUUGCUAUAACAAGAGAUUAUGUAGUAAUGCAAGACGAUCAAGCCAAUGUAAUGAAUUCUUUAAAAAAUCCAACUUUUACAAUGGGAGAUAAUCAUAUUAAUAAUGAAUCUGAAAAAAAGAAUAUAACUAAAGAAAGUAAUCCUCAGUCAAUAACGGAAGCCAAUGAGCAAAUGGGUCAAAUUAAUGAAAUAUUAUCUCAUGCGAAUAAGAAAAAAUCUAUCGAUAAGAAAAAUACAAAGAAGUCUAAGCAACAAAUAGACGAUGACAAACAUUUUUGGUGUGAUGAAUGCGACGGUAUUUGUACCAGCGAAGAUGGUUGCACUUCUCAUAAUGUAUGUGCAAUUGCUGAUCAACCUGUACCAUCACGAGCUAUAGCUACACUGCCAGGAUCAUAUCUUUAUAUAAAGAAAUUAUCUACCGUGGAUAUUAUUUUGGGUGGUUCAGAAUAUGGAGUUUUUGCAAAACGUAAUAUUCGUAGGCGAACACAAUUUGGCCCUAUCGAAGGUAUUUUAUACAAUUAUGAUGGAACACCAUUUGAAAAUGCAUUACCACUGCUUUAUGAAGCAGAAGAGGGACAAUUUUUGAAAGUUGAUGUUUCAGAUGAAAAUACUUCAAACUGGAUGCGUUUUGUGAGACCUGCACUUACGUACAAAGAACAAAAUUUAGUGAUUUGCCAACAGAAAGAUGGAAUUGUAUUUUUAACUACAAAAAAUAUUUCACCAAAAGAAGAACUAAGAGCAGGACCUCAUCCUGAUUAUGCAGCACGUAGAAAUUUAAUGGUAUUGAAACCUGAUGUGAAAGAUGACAAAGAAUAUAACAAUAGCGUGAGUAUUUGGCCAAAAUCGGAUAAUAAUUCUUACAAUCAUGCAAGACGUAUGAAAUUGUACAGAGGCAGAAAUUUAAAAGAAAAAGAAAAUGCUAGACAAAAUAAUUGUAAAGAAUGGAAAUGUUGUACGUGCAAUUUAAUCUUCAAAAAGCUGUCUUUAUUUAAAAUACAUAAUCUUAUGCACAAUCCGGAAGACAAUAAGAUAAAUUGUCAAUCGACGGUUUGUCCACAGUGUGGAUUAGAAUGUCAAAAAAAGUCCGAAUUAAUCAGUCAUGUUUUGCAACAUGCUAGAUUAUCUUUGCCAAAAAGUAACAAAUUGACAUCAGUGGUUGCUGCAUAUAAGUGCUCGAUGUGUUAUAAGCGCUUUGCUACAAAAGUAAGAUUACAGAAACAUUGUUUAGUGCAUGGUGCCGAGGACCAAAAGCCACUGCCGUGCAACAUUUGUCUAAAAAGAUUCAUGAAUAAUUCUGCUUUAUCUUGUCACUUAAAAACACACAGAGAAAAUAAGCAAGUGUAUGAAUGUCCGAUAUGCAGACAACUUUUUGAUCAAGGCUUGAUGUUAAAAGAUCACGUUGAGACGCAUAGAAAUGGAGAUCAUACAUUUACCUGUCCUCAUUGCCAAAGAAAUUUUAUUAAAUAUUCGGUAAUUCGAAAACAUAUAAGAGCUCAUCAUUGUGAAAGAAAACACAAGUGUCAGUUUUGUACAAAGCGUUUCCCUACGGUGGAUAAACUACGAAUGCAUUUACUCAAACAUUCUGAUCACAGAGAAUUUCACUGUGCUAAUUGUGGAAAACAAUUUAAAAGAAAAGAUAAACUUAAGGAACACAUGACUAGAAUGCACAAUUCGCAGAAAACGAAUCAAGAACAAACAAUACAAAACAAUCAAGUAAAGAAGUUUGUGCCAAAGGUAAAUCCAAAUGAUUACAAUCGUUUCAUAUAUAAAUGCCAUCAAUGUCUAGUAGGAUUUAAACGAAGAGGAAUGCUUGUCAAUCAUUUGGCAAAACGACAUCCAGACGUUGCUCCAGAGUCCGUGCCUGAACUAAAUUUACCAAUUUUGCGACAAACGAGAGAUUAUUAUUGUCAAUAUUGUGAUAAGGUGUAUAAAAGCAGCAGCAAACGUAAAGCUCAUAUCAUGAAAAAUCAUCCGGGUGCUGCUCUACCACCGAGUAAUCGUCAGAAAGAAUCAGAAUAUUCGAGUCUGCCUAAUCCAACUUUCAGUCAAACGGUUGGUAGUAUUACAACUACACCUCAAGGAUGUCAAUGGUGUCAUAAACAAUAUGCUAGUAAGGCAAAACUUUUGCAACAUCAACGUAAGAAACAUCCGAAUUUAAUGGAACCGGCGGAUCAAAUUCCGCGCUCGAGAAGUCGUCCACCGCAAAAUCAAAAUCAACCACCUACGUUAAGCGAUAACAAUUUCAUGGAUUAUAUUCAAGCGUGCGACGUAGACGGAGAAUUUUUUAAACAGAGAAUAAUUAAAAUAUCAAACGAAGUUGAUCUAAUAAGUAACGGUUUGGAGUUGGUUGGGCAACAAUUUGUACGUAUGCGUGAUAUACGUUGAAGAAAGAAUAGGCACAAUCCCUUUGUCGGGGAAUCAUUGCUAAUUUAUCGAGAUAUGAAUCUCGUGACUUUGUGCAUAGUCAAAAGAGGCUGUGCUUUUUUGCUGCCGGUACCAAAUACAAGGCCAUCGUUUGCCUGAAAGAAGUGUGGUACGGUACUUCUACUUGAGAGUAUUUGGAAUGCAGCUUUGUCAGCGCCAGUGCGAAACACUGAGCGCUGUUGUCUCAAUUGUGUGAAUUGCAACGUUGGCCACUGACUAUGAUGACUUCAGUGGAUUUGUUGGAAUGAUGAAUUACACGACUUCAUGAGUACUUUGUCUGAGCCUCGAUACACAAAAAAAGCCUAAUGACAUAAAGAAUAAUAAUGAACAAGAAACAGUAAGAUUAUACUUGCAAUAGACGUACUAUUGUCUUGUGUAUUAUUGAAAACUUCAUUCGCAAGACAUUAUGGAUAUUGAGCCAUCAGAAGCUUACCGAAAAAUCUGAGAAGGAAGUGAAAACGAUCAUUUUACUUCUACACGUAUCUUUUUCUUAUUCUACCACUUUGCACUGAAUAAUAUGCAGAAAUAAAUAAUAGUUACGAUAA
This 3826-nucleotide unclassified non-coding RNA is filed under the name Polistes dominula (European paper wasp). Its description in RNAcentral is "pR domain zinc finger protein 10-like, transcript variant X3". Lineage: Eukaryota; Metazoa; Arthropoda; Insecta; Hymenoptera; Vespidae. The record is from RNAcentral.